Molecule: transfer RNA, 62 nt
Filed under: Antigona lamellaris
Lineage: Eukaryota; Metazoa; Mollusca; Bivalvia; Venerida; Veneridae
Description: tRNA-Val
Source: RNAcentral
CAGAAAAUAGCAUAUGAAGUGUGUUUUGCUUACGUCAAAAAGGAGAAAUUUUUCUUUUCUGU